AUAACAAUUUGUGAUGCUUUAGGGAGCCUAUUGUUUGAUGGUUUAUAGGAGCCGGAUUUGUCUUUUUGACUAAUUUUCAACCUAUUCUUACUUCCAAAACUGUUGCAAUGGCUCUCGUUUUUUUUAAAUUUUUCUCUUUUCUCUUCUUUGGCAUAGUUUAUUUUUAAUAAAUUAUUUCAGGGUGAGAUAGAGAAAGAAUAAUGAGUAUCGUAGAUAAAUCUUCGGUUCCGAAUAGUGUAACUGUUGGUGCUGAGGUAAUCCAUCUUUAAAACCAUCGCCGUUAGAGGUUGCUUCUGAUAUUUUCGGUUAAGCGACCCAUGAAAUGGUGAUGACCUGAGGUAUGGAACAUCU
This 351-nucleotide small nucleolar RNA is filed under the name Saccharomyces cerevisiae YJM1549. RNAcentral describes it as "SNR42". It matches the Rfam family "Small nucleolar RNA snR42". Lineage: Eukaryota; Fungi; Ascomycota; Saccharomycetes; Saccharomycetales; Saccharomycetaceae. The record is from RNAcentral.